Molecule: ribosomal RNA, 253 nt
Filed under: uncultured prokaryote
Description: partial 16S ribosomal RNA
Rfam family: Bacterial small subunit ribosomal RNA
Source: RNAcentral
UACGUAGGCAGCAAGCGUUGUUCGGAAUUACUGGGCGUAAAGAGUGUGUAGGCGGUUCUCUAAGUUCGGGGUGAAAUCUCCCGGCUUAACUGGGAGGGUGCGCCGGAAACUGGAGGGCUUGAGUAUGGGAGAGGAAGGCGGAAUUCCUGGUGUAGCGGUGAAAUGCGUAGAUAUCAGGAGGAACACCGGUGGUGUAGACGGCUUUCUGGACCGUAACUGACGCUGAGACACGAAAGCGUGGGUAGCAAACAGG